UAUAAUAAGGAUAUUAAAAAGUUAUAUUUAGCUAAAUAAUAAAUAACUUAACUUUCCAAGUAUCGGCUUCUAACUAAUCAUCAGUUCUUCAACUUAACUUGUGCCGACGUAAACCUCAUGUUCUUCAAGCUCCAACCUUCAAGCACAUGCCAUUUUUCAGAAAUUAGAGUUUAUAAAUUUUCAAUUUCUAAUUAGCAAACAAAAGAAGGAAAAUAACCGAACAUGACUUUUGAAGGAACACUAGCAUGCAACUUAAUAAAAUUAAAAAUUAGCUACUAAGCCUAUCAUGGAAUUAUUUAAAGACGAGGUAGAGGUACUAAUCUUAGAAAUAGAAAUUGAAAUAGUAAACAAAAUAAGAAAAUUAAAAAGUCAUAUUUAUCUAAAGAAUAAAGAACUUAACCUUUCAAGUAUCAGCUUCUAACUGAUCAUAAGUUUUUCAACUUAACUUGUGCCGACGCAAACUUUAUGUUCUUCGAGCUCCAACCUUCAAGCACAUAACAU
Molecule: long non-coding RNA, 501 nt
Filed under: Ricinus communis (castor bean)
Lineage: Eukaryota; Viridiplantae; Streptophyta; Magnoliopsida; Malpighiales; Euphorbiaceae
Description: long non-coding RNA (RCOM_LNC003708)
Source: RNAcentral